Molecule: ribosomal RNA, 274 nt
Filed under: uncultured bacterium
Lineage: Bacteria
Description: partial 16S ribosomal RNA
Rfam family: Bacterial small subunit ribosomal RNA
Source: RNAcentral
AUACGGAGGGGGUUAGCGUUGUUCGGAAUUACUGGGCGUAAAGCGCACGCAGGCGGCCCGGCAAGUCGGGUGUGAGAGCCCGGGGCUCAACCCCGGAAUUGCACUCGAAACUGCCGGCCUUGAGUACGGGAGAGGGAAGCGGAAUUCCUAGUGUAGAGGUGAAAUUCGUAGAUAUUAGGAGGAACACCCGUGGCGAAAGCGGCUUCCUGGCCCGAUACUGACGCUCAUGUUCGAAAGCGUGGGGAGCAAACAGGAUUAGAAACCCCGGUAGUCC